CUCUCUCUCAAACACACUUGCUGUGAAAGAAACCCAGUGAAGGAAUCCCUCUCGCCAUCUCGCCCACUCCAGUUGUUGGAUUCUAGAGUAACUGCCGUAGGACAAAUUCUUCUCCUCCCUCAAAGAUCAAGAAAUUCAGAGAUGCAUUGGCGAAGCAUAGCUCAUAUUGUUGCAGCCUGGGACCAUCGAAAGGGCUCGAGGAGAAAGAACUGCUAGUGCUUGCAGCCAACAAAGAAACUUGGACGCAAUUUCCCCAAAUACAGAUGCUUGUAGACCACAAAAGAAGUGUUUUUGUUUGGAAAAAGCUGCAGCGACCGAGAUGAUUCAUGAGUUUAAACAGAGAGAUAUUGGCACAAAGAUGACUCCACUUUGCAGUUCAACAACUUCGAGAUGCCACAUGUUGUUGAAAGUGAGUGAAGCUAUUCAAGUGAAUCAAAGACCAAGAAAUGAUCAAUUGUUGUAAUUUGAAAUAUGAAGUUGUAAUUUUUGGAAUAUCAAGUUGUAGUAUCAAGUUUUAGUUUUGCGAAAUCUAACUUUGAUUGUAGCCUAUUUGUGUGACUAUAUUGUUUUAUGGUUUUUGUUGGGAAUGGAUAAUUUGGCAAUGGAUUUUGGCUAUGAAUGUGGCUUGUGAAUGGUGAUUUAGAAUGAGAAA
Long non-coding RNA from Rhododendron vialii, 652 nucleotides. RefSeq lists it as uncharacterized. The record is from RefSeq and is a predicted model, not a curated record. Lineage: Eukaryota; Viridiplantae; Streptophyta; Magnoliopsida; Ericales; Ericaceae. The transcript is spliced from 2 exons.